AUAGCAACUAAGUACAAAAGGAAGUGAGGCAAAGCCCUCCUCUCUCCCAGCAGGGACCUGUGCUCUGCAGCAUGUGGACACCUGCGAUCUGAUCCCAUCCCAUCUUAGCUGAUGGUGGGAGGGGAGAGGACAGUCAUGGAAACGGAGUAAAGCCAGCACGUGAAGGCAGAGGUGUCACCAGCGGCCGCUGCCUAAGGACUCUCUUCCUUUGGAGAUCAAGAUAAAUACAGUCAACUGUUCAAGGAGGCAGAACUCAAGGAACGUGGUUUUGGUCAGCUGUUUGGGAAAUGAACUCUCAGAGUCCCUUUAAAAAUUAAUUUGUAAGGAAAUUUAAUGGAAUAAAUGGAAAUCCAAAUGCUAGGAAACACUCUAGCCUCCAGCCACCAGAUUCCAGAUGCUAGCAUGAUGCCAACUGGAAUUUCCUGGGAAGACAAUUACACCAAUGUGUCCUGGAGCCCUGCUUCCCAAGAAUCCAUGUAUAGUGGGGAAGCAAUUACAGAAGCCAGACCUUCCACAUUCUGCACCCCAUAAUGACCCUGGAUCCAUCCUCCCAGAGUGAUAAGAAUAGGGAAGCUAUCAGGAGAGGGGAUGUGAUACAGA
Long non-coding RNA from Erinaceus europaeus (western European hedgehog), 600 nucleotides. RefSeq lists it as uncharacterized. The transcript has 3 exons. The record is from RefSeq and is a predicted model, not a curated record. Lineage: Eukaryota; Metazoa; Chordata; Mammalia; Eulipotyphla; Erinaceidae.